This 223-nucleotide ribosomal RNA is filed under the name uncultured bacterium. RNAcentral's name for it is "partial 16S ribosomal RNA". It matches the Rfam family "Bacterial small subunit ribosomal RNA", at positions 524 to 746 of the family's 1533-position model. The record is from RNAcentral.
UACGUAGGGUGCGAGCGUUGUUCGGAAUCAUUGGGCGUAAAGCGAGAGUAGGUGGUUUGCUAAGUCGGGUGUGAAAUCCCUGGGCUCAACCCAGGAAGUGCAUUCGAAACUAGCUCACUUGAAGAUGGUAGAGGAAGGUGGAAUUCCAAGUGUAGAGGUGAAAUUCGUAGAUAUUUGGAGGAAUACCGGCGGCGAAGGCGGCCUUCUGGACCAUUCUUGACAC